CGUCGAAGGUGGGGCUGAUGACUGGGGUGAAGUCGUAACAAGGUAUCCGUACCGGAAGGUGCGGAUGGAUCACCUCCUAACAGGGAGACAACACAAUGAUUUUGAUGCCUGAGUGCUUUUAUUCUUAGGCCGAAAUACUGUCACCUUAGGUCGAUCGGUACCUCAGCUUUGAAGUCAAGAAUCAGCAGCAAUGUUGAUUGCUUGAUGGAGAUUUUCAGUUCCUAAACUUUGUCUAGGUCACACCCCAAAAGGGAUGAGACUCCUGGGCCAUUAGCUCAGGUGGUUAGAGCGCACCCCUGAUAAGGGUGAGGUCCCUGGUUCAAGUCCAGGAUGGCCCAUUCGGUGUUGGGGGUUUAGCUCAGUUGGUAGAGCGCCUGCUUUGCAAGCAGGAUGUCAGGAGUUCGAGUCUCCUAACCUCCACUGACCGAACUUGAUUCCCAUCUCCAAUUCUUUUGGAGUUGAGCUCGAUUGGAGUGUGAUUUAGAUGUGUCCGCUGGAUGACCCCAGCUUCCUGUCAUUCCAAGUUUUAGGUUAAAGCCUUGAAUUUGGUUGAUAAGAUGCUGGGCUCGGAUCAAAUGAUCAAGCAAUUGAUGAUUUGAUUUGAAGUUCUAGCAGAACCUUGACAACUGCAUAGGUGAGUCUGGAAAAAACAAAGCAUCUUACAGAUGCAUUGUUUUGAAUCUGAUUUUCUGAAAGGGAGAUUAGAUCUAGAACAAUGAAAAUUCUUUUGAGCAAGAGCCGAGACUCUUGAACGUUCUUUGAUUGGUGUCGAGCCAAUCAAAGUUUGAUCUUGUUUUUAGCGAUAAAAACUUGAGAAUCUGCUUUCAACGGCGGUAAGCGUUCAGGAGGUUAAUUGGUCAAGCUACAAAGGGCUCACGGCG
Molecule: unclassified non-coding RNA, 881 nt
Filed under: uncultured Synechococcus sp.
Lineage: Bacteria; Bacillati; Cyanobacteriota; Cyanophyceae; Synechococcales; Synechococcaceae
Description: partial may contain 16S ribosomal RNA, 16S-23S ribosomal RNA intergenic spacer, and 23S ribosomal RNA
Rfam family: tRNA (bases 348-420)
Source: RNAcentral